This 76-nucleotide transfer RNA is filed under the name Verrucomicrobiales bacterium. Its description in RNAcentral is "tRNA-Glu". It matches the Rfam family "tRNA". Rfam says of the family: Transfer RNA (tRNA) molecules are approximately 80 nucleotides in length. The record is from RNAcentral. Lineage: Bacteria; Pseudomonadati; Verrucomicrobiota; Verrucomicrobiia; Verrucomicrobiales.
GUCCCUGUAGUGUAGUGGCUUAGCACACCUGACUUUCUAUCAGGUACCCCGGGUUCAAAUCCCGGCGGGGAUGCCA